RNAcentral lists this ribosomal RNA (590 nucleotides) under uncultured bacterium. RNAcentral's name for it is "bacterial SSU rRNA". It matches the Rfam family "Bacterial small subunit ribosomal RNA", at positions 338 to 945 of the family's 1533-position model. The record is from RNAcentral.
CCUACGGGAGGCAGCAGUGGGGAAUCUUGCGCAAUGGGCGAAAGCCUGACGCAGCAACGCCACGUGCGGGAAGAAGGCCUUAGGGUUGUAAACCGCUUUCAGUAGGAACGAAAAUGACGGUACCUGCAGAAGAAGGUGCGGCCAACUACGUGCCAGCAGCCGCGGUGACACGUAGGCACCAAGCGUUGUCCGGAUUUAUUGGGCGUAAAGAGCUCGUAGGCGGUUCAGUAAGUCGGGUGUGAAAACUCUGGGCUUAACCCAGAGCCGCCACUCGAUACUGCUGUGACUUGAGUUCGGUAGGGGAGCAGGGAAUUCCUAGUGUAGCGGUGAAAUGCGCAGAUAUUAGGAGGAACACCGGUGGCGAAGGCGCUGCUCUGGGCCGAUACUGACGCUGAGGAGCGAAAGCGUGGGUAGCAAACAGGAUUAGAUACCCUGGUAGUCCACGCCGUAAACGUUGGGCACUAGGUGUGGGUUCCAACCACGGAAUCCGCGCCGUCGCUAACGCAUUAAGUGCCCCGCCUGGGGAGUACGGCGGCAACGCUAAACCNCGAAAGAUGACGNUGAGAGUUGCGAGCGACGACGAGGGAGNG